AGCUUUGCGCAGUGGCAGUAUGGUAACCAAUGAGGUUUAUCUGAGGUGCGAUUAUUGUUAAUUGAAAACUUUUCCCAAUACCCCACUGUGACAGCUUGAAAUAUAGUUGGCAUUGUGAACGGUUUAGCUCUCUGCAUGUGG
Small nuclear RNA from Ochotona curzoniae (black-lipped pika), 141 nucleotides. RefSeq annotates it as U4 spliceosomal RNA. The transcript has a single exon. Lineage: Eukaryota; Metazoa; Chordata; Mammalia; Lagomorpha; Ochotonidae. The record is from RefSeq and is a predicted model, not a curated record.